AACGAACGCUGGCGGCGUGCUUAACACAUGCAAGUCGAACGAGAAAGCGGGCUUCGGCCCGUGAGUAAAGUGGCAGACGGGUGAGUAACACGUGGGUAACCUACCCAGAAGUGGGGAAUAACUCUUCGAAAGGAGGGCUAAUACCGCAUGACAUCACGGAGUCUCUGGACUCUGUGAUCAAAACAGGCCUCUAUUUUAUGCUUGUGCUUCUGGAGGGACCCGCGCCCCAUUAGCUUGUUGGUGAGGUAACGGCUCACCAAGGCUCCGAUGGGUAGCCGGCCUGAGAGGGCGAUCGGCCACACUGGAACUUAGACACGGUCCAGACUCCUACGGGAGGCAGCAGUGAGGAAUAUUGCGCAAUGGGCGAAAGCCUGACGCAGCGACGCCGCGUGGAGGAUGAAGGCCUUCGGGUUGUAAACUCCUGUCAGGGGGGACGAAUGUCAGCAGGACGAAUAAUCUUGUUGGUUGACGGUACCUCCAAAGGAAGCCCCGGCUAACUCCGUGCCAGCAGCCGCGGUAAUACGGAGGGGGCCAGCGUUGUUCGGAUUUAUUGGGCGUAAAGGGCGCGUAGGCGGCUUUGCUAGUCGAAGGUGAAAUCCCUCAGCUCAACUGAGGAACUGCCUCCGAUACUGCAGGGCUUGAGUUCCGGAGAGGGUAGCGGAAUUCCCAGUGUAGCGGUGAAAUGCGUAGAUACUGGGAGGAACACCGGUGGCGAAGGCGGCUACCUGGACGGAUACUGACGCUGAGGCGCGAAAGCGUGGGGAGCAAACAGGAUUAGAUACCCUGGUAGUCCACGCUGUAAACGAUGGGCACUUGGUGUUGCGGG
This 826-nucleotide ribosomal RNA is filed under the name uncultured bacterium. Its description in RNAcentral is "bacterial SSU rRNA". It matches the Rfam family "Bacterial small subunit ribosomal RNA", at positions 28 to 829 of the family's 1533-position model. The record is from RNAcentral.